AACGGUAAAAAUGAUUGGUGGAAUUACAAAUGAGCCAAUAUAGCAAUAUAGCAGUAACUAAUAAAGUGCUGUACUUCUACUUUUUAUCUCAAUCGUAUCGGUUCAGUAUCAAUUGGUUCUACGAUUCAAGGGAUGUUUUCACGUGUUCUGCUGCUGUUAUUCAUCCUGCGGUGCGCUAAUGCCACAGACCAAGAAGGAGAGCAGCGCGUUUGCACCCAGGAGUGCGUCAGUAGUGAGCGAUGUGGGGACGAGAGGAGCAUGAAGGCGCCGGGCGUGUGUCCAGGCGACCUCGUCUGCUGCGCGUUUGCCAUUGAUCAUCAGUGACGUUCGCGAGCUACGGGUAACCCAUAACAAGAAGCAAUAAAAUAAAAUACUUACAGAUGAAAGUAAAAUCGGGCCCUCAAAACACUUAAAAGCAAAAAAAUUAUAGGUCGGCACCGAAGGAUAUUACAAUUCUGCUAAGGCAGCAAAAGUGUACAAAAAGAAGCAAAAUUAUUAAAGAAGAUGUGUGUAAACUA
Molecule: long non-coding RNA, 518 nt
Organism: Nematostella vectensis (starlet sea anemone)
Lineage: Eukaryota; Metazoa; Cnidaria; Anthozoa; Actiniaria; Edwardsiidae
Exons: 3
Source: RefSeq, a predicted model, not a curated record